Molecule: ribosomal RNA, 406 nt
Filed under: uncultured bacterium
Lineage: Bacteria
Description: partial 16S ribosomal RNA
Rfam family: Bacterial small subunit ribosomal RNA
Source: RNAcentral
AUUGAACGCUGGCGGCAGGCCUAACACAUGCAAGUCGAACGAGUGGCGGACGGGUGAGUAAAGUCUGGGAAACUGCCUGAGGGAGGGGGAUAACUACUGGAAACGGUAGCUAAUACCGCAUACCAUCAGAUGUGCCCAGAUGGGAUUAGCUAGUUGGUGGGGUAACGGCCCACCAAGGCGACGAUCCCUAGCUGGUCUGAGAGGAUGAACCGCCACACUGGAACUGGGACACGGUCCAGCCGCCUACGGGAGGCAGCAGUGGGGAAUAUUGGACACUGGGCGCAAUCCUGAUGCAGCCAUGCCGCGUGUAUGAAGAAGGCCUUCGGGUUGUAAAGUACUUUCAGCGGGGAGGCGUUACCCGCAGAAGAAGCACCGGCUAACUCCGUGCCAGCAGCCGCGGUAAUAC